CAGUUCACUACCAACGCUCACCCUCAUUUGAAGUUUGGUUUAACCUUGAAUUAUGGCAGGUAUACCCAAGUUAAAUGUGGAAAUUUUUGAUAUAUUUUUUUCUUGCGGUGCGACCUUCACAUUCAUGCUCUAACGAAUACCUAUCUUCAUAAGUAAGGUGAUUUAGUGUGGUAUGAAAUUAUUUCCACGUUUGCUUUUAGCAAUCGACUACUGACAUCGUUAACGCCUUCUUUUACGUUAAAUACGGUAAUUGAUGGAAUACCCGAAUAAAGAGUGGUAUCUAUAGGUAUUGUAUUUGUACUUAGUACAACAGCAGUAAUUAAAGCAAAUUUGGCAAAAUUUAUGAUUUUCCUGAAAAACAUUUUUCCUUCAAGCUUUCCAGCACUUCAAAAUUUAUUAGGAUUUUGCUGCAGUACGCACAAAGAAAUCUCCCAAAAAAUGAAAUUCAAUUUUGUGCUUUGGAAUGCGUCUAUGAGAAAAUGGGAAUUGUACGUGAAACGUGAAUUGCGUAAAAAAAAAAAAUAGAUAUCAACCAGGAUAUACCUAAUUACAAUAUUACCUAAAGCUCUGAUAUUAAAGAUAGUCAUUUUUUUUCUGUUCACUCCUUAUACUGAUUGUUUAUUUUUUUUAUUUAUUUAUUUUUUUUAUUUAUUUAUUUUUUCAAUACAGGUAAAGGAUGACAAACUUGUGUACGAAGAAAUUACGAAAGCGUUUCGAAUAAUGUUCGAGCAUGAUCAGACUUUGCUCAGAGAUGUCCUUAAAGUAUCUGAUUUAUGCAAAAAAGAAGUUGAGCGAGAUUAUGGCUCGAUUAAGGAAUGUGGCGUCCCUGAUGCGUUCCAUCAGUGUGUGAUGAGUAAAUGGUCGGUCCAAUCAACCAUGGAGUUGAAUAUGUAAACUCGAAUAAUUUUAUAUUUUAUCAAAUUAAUUUAGGCUCAGUGUAAGUGAUUAUUUCCUUUAUUGAAUUUUGUUUCAUUAUCAAUAAACUACUCGAAAAAAUUGUAAUA
Molecule: long non-coding RNA, 1004 nt
Organism: Planococcus citri (citrus mealybug)
Lineage: Eukaryota; Metazoa; Arthropoda; Insecta; Hemiptera; Pseudococcidae
Exons: 4
Source: RefSeq, a predicted model, not a curated record